Molecule: ribosomal RNA, 327 nt
Filed under: uncultured eukaryote
Lineage: Eukaryota
Description: partial 18S ribosomal RNA
Rfam family: Eukaryotic small subunit ribosomal RNA
Source: RNAcentral
CCCUUAGAUGUUCUGGGCCGCACACGCGCUACACUGAAGGAGGCAGCGUGUACUCCUGGAUCGAAAGAUUUGGGUAACCCGCGAAUCUCCUUCGUGCUAGGGAUUGAGGUUUGCAAUUAUCCUUCAUGAACGAGGAAUUCCCAGUAAGUGCAAGUCAUAAGCUUGCGCUGACUACGUCCCUGCCCUUUGUACACACCGCCCGUCGCUACUACCGAUUGAAUGAUUUAGUGAGGACUUCGGACUGGGACCGAUGCGGCUUUCGGGCUGCGUCGGUAUUCUGGAAAGAUGUUCAAACUGUAUCAUUUAGAGGAAGUAAAANUCGUAACA